GGAAAUAGGGGUUGCUUGGCUGGGGCCUCUGCCCACUAGCCCGGGGACUUUCAGAGCAGGGCCAGGGGGAACAUCGGGGUCUAUUCUGGGCUGUGUGAGCACCUCAAGCCAUUCACCCUCCCCAAACCUGCAAGGCCGAGGAGUCUUCUUUCACGGUCGAUUAAAAAGAAAGUUGGAGCUUUGGAGGGGCCCUUGGCAUCUCCCUGGGAAUCGGAGUCACCGCAGGCUCUUACCAGCCAGUGAUGAAAACUUCCCUCCAUUCCUGCCCUCCUCAGCUGCUGCUUUGGAAGCUCAGUCCACAGAACCUAUCCCUCCGCUCUCCUGACCCUGGCCUGAAACUCCUCUACUUCAAAGUUAGAGGUAUUUGGGCCACCCUCCUGGAGGAAUUGAGAAGAGCUUCA
Bos taurus (domestic cattle) is the source of this 401-nucleotide long non-coding RNA. The record is from Ensembl. NCBI's taxonomy places the organism in Eukaryota, Metazoa, Chordata, Mammalia, Artiodactyla, Bovidae.